RNAcentral lists this small RNA (146 nucleotides) under Pongo abelii (Sumatran orangutan). Lineage: Eukaryota; Metazoa; Chordata; Mammalia; Primates; Hominidae. The record is from RNAcentral.
UAUGUUAGAGGUGAUUAAAACAAUGGACAAUUUUUUUUUUUUUUUGAGACCAAGUUUCGCUCUUGUUGUCCAGGCUGAAGUGCAGUGGCAUGAUCUCAGCUCACUGCAACCUCUGCCUCCCGGGUUCAAGCAAUUCUCCAGCCUCA